This 29-nucleotide non-coding RNA is filed under the name Mus musculus (house mouse). Lineage: Eukaryota; Metazoa; Chordata; Mammalia; Rodentia; Muridae. The record is from RNAcentral.
UACUUAUGUAUAGUAAGUCUUUGUGCCUG